GAAUGCAAUGAUGAUUAUUUUUCCCUAUUGGUUUGAGUGCCGAAAUGAUGGCAUAUUGUAUUAGCUCUAUCUGAGCAUUC
Molecule: small nucleolar RNA, 80 nt
Filed under: Lupinus angustifolius (narrow-leaved blue lupine)
Lineage: Eukaryota; Viridiplantae; Streptophyta; Magnoliopsida; Fabales; Fabaceae
Description: snoRNA snoZ102_R77
Rfam family: Small nucleolar RNA Z102/R77
About the family: Z102 and R77 and are members of the C/D class of snoRNA which contain the C (UGAUGA) and D (CUGA) box motifs. Most of the members of the box C/D family function in directing site-specific 2'-O-methylation of substrate RNAs.
Source: Rfam by way of RNAcentral